GCGGCAAGUCGCAACACCCAGGCCUGCACCAGGUGUAUCGAGGAUGGCGAAUCGAAGCGCGUCGCGGGUGCGGCCGAGCGCGACGAAGACGGUGGAAGAGCGCAGAGGCCGCGCGGACGGUGACAGGACGGAUCGGGUUGGAGUCCGCGAAGCCGGAGUUGGCUGCGGCAGUGGUUGCCGCCAGCCCGAGGACGGCGAAGGAACGUAGGGGGUCGGCGGCCGGAUCCAUGCGACGACUCUUUCACUCUCAUCCCACCUCCCUGUGCCCGGUAAUGGCGCCCUCAUUCACAUGGCAAGCUACUCCUACAAGCCCCAAUGGCCAAGGGAGGAUGCGGCUGGACCCUUUUAUGUACCUAGGGUAGACGGUUGGAAGGGGCGCCGUCCAAAUCGCGGAUGCCGGUCACGCGGCCGAAGACUUCGGCAUCAGUUCUGUUGGGAGGUGGAAGAUCUGACGAGUCGACCCCUGUGUCAGUGAGAGGUAAAUGGCGCCCCUGAGUAAGCCGCGAGGCUGACACGGACAGCCCCACACAACGGCGACACCAGCAAAACGGUGUGGAACAGGAUGACGGGCUGCGCGGGGAAAACAGUAAAGUGGGCCGAAUUGGAUCCCACAGCCCAGGUAGGCUUUUUAUCCCUUUUUCUUUUCU
Molecule: long non-coding RNA, 647 nt
Filed under: Zea mays
Lineage: Eukaryota; Viridiplantae; Streptophyta; Magnoliopsida; Poales; Poaceae
Description: drought responsive lncRNA
Source: RNAcentral